This 1498-nucleotide ribosomal RNA is filed under the name Lactiplantibacillus plantarum. Its description in RNAcentral is "bacterial SSU rRNA". It matches the Rfam family "Bacterial small subunit ribosomal RNA". The record is from RNAcentral. Lineage: Bacteria; Bacillati; Bacillota; Bacilli; Lactobacillales; Lactobacillaceae.
UAGGACGAACGCUGGCGGCGUGCCUAAUACAUGCAAGUCGAACGAACUCUGGUAUUGAUUGGUGCUUGCAUCAUGAUUUACAUUUGAGUGAGUGGCGAACUGGUGAGUAACACGUGGGAAACCUGCCCAGAAGCGGGGGAUAACACCUGGAAACAGAUGCUAAUACCGCAUAACAACUUGGACCGCAUGGUCCGAGUUUGAAAGAUGGCUUCGGCUAUCACUUUUGGAUGGUCCCGCGGCGUAUUAGCUAGAUGGUGGGGUAACGGCUCACCAUGGCAAUGAUACGUAGCCGACCUGAGAGGGUAAUCGGCCACAUUGGGACUGAGACACGGCCCAAACUCCUACGGGAGGCAGCAGUAGGGAAUCUUCCACAAUGGACGAAAGUCUGAUGGAGCAACGCCGCGUGAGUGAAGAAGGGUUUCGGCUCGUAAAACUCUGUUGUUAAAGAAGAACAUAUCUGAGAGUAACUGUUCAGGUAUUGACGGUAUUUAACCAGAAAGCCACGGCUAACUACGUGCCAGCAGCCGCGGUAAUACGUAGGUGGCAAGCGUUGUCCGGAUUUAUUGGGCGUAAAGCGAGCGCAGGCGGUUUUUUAAGUCUGAUGUGAAAGCCUUCGGCUCAACCGAAGAAGUGCAUCGGAAACUGGGAAACUUGAGUGCAGAAGAGGACAGUGGAACUCCAUGUGUAGCGGUGAAAUGCGUAGAUAUAUGGAAGAACACCAGUGGCGAAGGCGGCUGUCUGGUCUGUAACUGACGCUGAGGCUCGAAAGUAUGGGUAGCAAACAGGAUUAGAUACCCUGGUAGUCCAUACCGUAAACGAUGAAUGCUAAGUGUUGGAGGGUUUCCGCCCUUCAGUGCUGCAGCUAACGCAUUAAGCAUUCCGCCUGGGGAGUACGGCCGCAAGGCUGAAACUCAAAGGAAUUGACGGGGGCCCGCACAAGCGGUGGAGCAUGUGGUUUAAUUCGAAGCUACGCGAAGAACCUUACCAGGUCUUGACAUACUAUGCAAAUCUAAGAGAUUAGACGUUCCCUUCGGGGACAUGGAUACAGGUGGUGCAUGGUUGUCGUCAGCUCGUGUCGUGAGAUGUUGGGUUAAGUCCCGCAACGAGCGCAACCCUUAUUAUCAGUUGCCAGCAUUAAGUUGGGCACUCUGGUGAGACUGCCGGUGACAAACCGGAGGAAGGUGGGGAUGACGUCAAAUCAUCAUGCCCCUUAUGACCUGGGCUACACACGUGCUACAAUGGAUGGUACAACGAGUUGCGAACUCGCGAGAGUAAGCUAAUCUCUUAAAGCCAUUCUCAGUUCGGAUUGUAGGCUGCAACUCGCCUACAUGAAGUCGGAAUCGCUAGUAAUCGCGGAUCAGCAUGCCGCGGUGAAUACGUUCCCGGGCCUUGUACACACCGCCCGUCACACCAUGAGAGUUUGUAACACCCAAAGUCGGUGGGGUAACCUUUUAGGAACCAGCCGCCUAAGGUGGGACAGAUGAUUAGGGUGAAGUCG